RNAcentral lists this ribosomal RNA (155 nucleotides) under Pneumocystis sp. RNAcentral describes it as "partial large subunit ribosomal RNA". Lineage: Eukaryota; Fungi; Ascomycota; Pneumocystomycetes; Pneumocystales; Pneumocystaceae. The record is from RNAcentral.
UUUUAGUAGAUGAUUUAUUUAUUUUUAUUAGAGGGUAUAGCACUGAAUAUCUAAUACAGUAUUAGAAAGGAGUAUGAAAGUACUUACUUUGGAUAUUUAAUCUCAGAAUAAUUAAUAUAAUUAAAUAAGUUAUCAGACUUUUUGCGAUAAGGUGA